GACGAACGCUGGCGGCGUGCCUAACACAUGCAAGUCGAACGGAAAGGCCCGGCUUUUGUGCGGUGCUCGAGUGGCGAACUGGGGAGUAACACGUGAGUAACCUCCCCCUCACUUAGGGGGAUCUUCAGGGAACUGGGGCUCUUACCGCAUAAGAUCUCUUGCUGCAUGGUGGGCGUUGGUAAGUUUAGGUGGUUGGGGAUGGAAUCGCGGACUAUCAGCUUGAUUGUUGGGUAGUGACGUACCAAGGCUUUCACGGCUAGGCGGCCUGAGAGGGUUACCGGACACAAUGGGACUGGGAUAGGGCCCAGACUCGUACGGGAGGCAGCGGUGGAGAGUAUGACACAGUGGGCGGAAGGCUGAUGCAGCAACGCCGCGUGCGGGAAGACGGGCUUCGGGUUGUGAACAGCUGUCGCCUUUGCCGAAGCGAGAGUGACGGUACCGGGUAAAGAAGCACCGGCUAACUACGUG
Molecule: ribosomal RNA, 468 nt
Filed under: uncultured bacterium
Lineage: Bacteria
Description: partial 16S ribosomal RNA
Rfam family: Bacterial small subunit ribosomal RNA
Source: RNAcentral